Molecule: ribosomal RNA, 494 nt
Filed under: uncultured bacterium
Lineage: Bacteria
Description: partial 16S ribosomal RNA
Rfam family: Bacterial small subunit ribosomal RNA
Source: RNAcentral
GACGAACGCUGGCGGCGCGCUUAACACAUGCAAGUCGAACGGAAAGGCCUGCUUUCCCUUGUGGUUUGCGGGUACUCGAGUGGCGAACGGGUGAGUAACACGUGAGUGAUCUUCCCCCAACUUGUGUAUAAGCCUGGGAAACUGGGUCUAAUUCCCUAUAGUACUGCUGGGUGGUUCCUUUUGUGGAAUACGAUUUUCUUGUGGUUGGUGAUGAGCUCGCGGCCUAUCAGCUUGUUGGUUGGGUAAUGGCCUACCAAGGCGGCGACGGGUAGCCUGCCUGAGAGGGUGGACGGACACAGUGGGACAGAGAGACGGCGCAGACGCCUACGGGAGGAAGCAGAGGGGAAUAUUGCAGAAUGGGCGGAAGCCUGAUGCAGCGACGCCGCGUGGGGGAUGACGGCAUUCGGGUUGUAAACUCCUUUCGACAGCGAGGAAGCCACCUGGUUGGAAGGGUGGUGACGGUAGUGGUAGAAGAAGCACCGGCUAACUACGUG